Populus trichocarpa (black cottonwood) is the source of this 2465-nucleotide long non-coding RNA. RefSeq lists it as uncharacterized. The transcript is spliced from 2 exons. The record is from RefSeq and is a predicted model, not a curated record. Lineage: Eukaryota; Viridiplantae; Streptophyta; Magnoliopsida; Malpighiales; Salicaceae.
CUUCCUCCUACUAAAUGAAAAUGGAGCUUGCUGGGUUAGAUAAAAAUCCCUUUGGAAAGGAGGGAAAGAAAGAAUGGCAUUUUCGCCGAGGAUCAAAUCUCUUGCUCAAAAGAACAUAAGUAAGAACCUCAUCUGAUAAAAAAAAAAAAAAUUGAUAAUAGGAAGGGAGAAAUGCACCGUGGUGAUGUUAUAUGUCAGGCAAAGCAGCAGGAGGAGAAGAAAACAAAGCUGCUUGGCUUCUUGGAGUCAAAACCCUUAAAAAUUCAGCCCUACCAUCUUCCUCCUCUAGGCAAGAAUCUCCUCGGACAAUGCCAUUCCUUUUCGGAGAACUCAUCAGUGAGUGAAAAAUAUGAUUCCCAAAAUGGAAAUCAUACACAUGAUUUUAAGAUUGCAGUACUGAAGCAAUCCCAAUUACUACUGCUACGGUUUUUCGGUGAUAGGAAAUUACAGCGACAGUCCUACAGUUUCAAAGCAUACGAUGCUUGUCUAUCAGAAUGUGCGUGUGUAGCUUCUGUUUGUGGCUUCAUGAUGAGAAGCUUUAUUGCUGAAUACUGGGGAGCUUAGACUUUCCCUGGAUCCAGCUUGAAGGAUAGAUCAAACGAAGCAAUGGCCCCGGGUUGUGGUAUGGAUGAUUCUCCUGAUGAAACACUUAAAGCUGGUAACAAGUACCUCCAAGACUCGCUUGAUUUGACGAGGGAGCUCCUGCUGCAUCACAGUCUGAAGGGAAGAUAACAGGUUUUAUAUCCGUGAACGAGCAGUUUUAUGGAUGGAUAGCAGAGUGCCCGAGGAGGCUUCAGAGCAAAUAUGACAGCAGCAGGUACGAAUUUGCAAGUAAGCUUUAAGAUCUUCUUCAAUAAUAUCCCGGAGAAUGUGACGCAACAUACAGCGAAAGAUAGAAAACUAAGGUUUCUCAAGCUUUAAAAAUUAUACUCCUAAAUUAUAGAGAGAGACUAGAAUUUCUUAAAUACUAAAAUAACAACUAAACUACAGAGAAAACCAGCUGUCACGCGUCUUGCGUCGGGAUGGGUGCAAAAUGCAAAUGAAGGACACCAUGAUUUUACCAGAGAAAGACAUCAUUUUUUUAUUCAAUUUAGUUUUUAUUAAAAAAAAUAAUUAAAUUAAAAUUUUUUUUUAAACUGAAACUGAUUCAAACCGAUCUAUUUUAGUUUAACUUUUUAGAACAAAAACUGGUUCAAACUAGUUUGGAUUGAUUUUUUCUAGUUUGAGUUCGGUUCGGUUUUUUCGGUUUCAGGCUUAUAAAACCGAACCGAACUGGUUAAUUUUUUCAAAAUUUUAAUUAGUUUAAUUGGUUUUUUUUUACAGUUUGGUUUUUUUAAUUAUUUUUUUUUAGUUUUUUCAGUUUAAUCGAUUUUUCAGUUUUUUUAAUCACCCCAAAUAUAGCUGUUAAUGUAACUGAAACCGUUAAAGAAGAGGAGGACAUUUUAGACUAAUUUUCUCAAGCAAAAAAUGAAGAUCAACGAAGGAUAAAUGCCUAGUAGCUUAAACAAAUUUCUCAAAUUAAAGCUCUUUACAUAACAUCCAAGAAUAACAAGUGAAAAAGCUCGAACUUAUUAUUUCUUUAUUAAAUAUCAGUUAUUCACAGGGAUUCACGAGAAAAUUACCUCUUAAUUUUACCCUGAUUAAAAAAACAAAAAAAAAACUGAUGGAAUACGAACCCAUUUAUUUAUCUAAUUCUAGUUAUUUUAUUAUUGAAUUUAGUUACUGUUUUAAUAUCAGAAAAGAAAACAAAAAUCCAUUUAUUUACCUAAUUCUUUUUAUAUUUUAAUUUCCUAACAUAAAAUCCAAUGAAUCUCCCCAUGAAAAAGUUAUCCUCGUCUAAAAUCCAAUGAAUCUUCCCAUAAAAAAAGCAAUUGGAUGAACAUGAAGAAUCUUAAUGUGAACUAAAAAAUCCCAUAAUACUAUUAUUGCAUAUAAAUUACCUGUUUGAUGAUGCGGUAACUUUUAUUAUUCAAAGUGUUUUUGAAAUUAUUAUUUUCAUUUAAAAAAAUAUUAAAUUAAUAAUUUUAAGUAUUUUUUGAUAAUUUAAAUGUGUCGAUAUUAAACAAAAUUAAAAAAAUAUUAUUUUAAUAUAUUUAUUUUUAUUAAAACGCACCACAUCAACAAACACAGAAUAAUUUUAGUACUGUUGAUGUAAUAAUCUUACAGUUGAUGUAAAAUGAGAAGUUUGAACUACUUUUGUCUAGAACCUUAGUUUGAUUCGACUCUUACAAGUGUUUUUUCUCUUUAUCUUAUCUUUCUGAUUUAAUUUAACAUCACCAGCACGUAGUCUUCCUUUCUAGUGAUAUCUUGCUUUCAAGCAUCGAUUCCAGGUAGUUUUUAAUUAGCUAGUCACUUCAGUAGAAGCAUAGGCAUAAAGUUUUGCUGUCACUUCCAAAAGAUGUAGCCUUGAAAUUUUGAAAAUCAAUGAUAUGCUUAGAAUGCACUCAUCAAUUAAUUAUUGAUAA